CCUACGGGCGGCAGCAGUGGGGAAUAUUGGGCAAUGGGCGCAAGUCUGACCCAGCAACGCCGCGUGAAUGAUGAAGGUUUUCGGGUUGUAAAGUUCUUUUCUGAGGGAUGAAGAAAGUGACGGUACCUGACGAAUAAGCCACGGCUAACUACGUGCCAGCAGCCGCGGUAAUACGUAGGUGGCAAGCGUUAUCCGGAUUUACUGGGUGUAAAGGGUGCGUAGGCGGUAAAGUAAGUUAGAUGUGAAAACCAUGGGCUCAACCUCGGCCCUGCAGUUGAAACUGUUAGUCUUGAGUACAGGAGAGGCAGGUGGAAUGCCUAGUGUAGCGGUGAAAUGCGUAGAUAUUAGGAGGAACACCAGUGGCGAAGGCGGCUUACUGGACAGCAACUGACGCUGAGGCACGAAAGCGUGGGGAGCAAACAGGAUUAGAUACCCGGGUAGUC
RNAcentral lists this ribosomal RNA (443 nucleotides) under uncultured bacterium. Its description in RNAcentral is "partial 16S ribosomal RNA". It matches the Rfam family "Bacterial small subunit ribosomal RNA", at positions 338 to 795 of the family's 1533-position model. The record is from RNAcentral.